UACGUAGGUGGCGAGCGUUGUCCGGAUUUACUGGGCGUAAAGAGCGCGCAGGCGGUCGUACAAGUCGCGUGUGAAAGCCCCCGGCUCAACUGGGGAGGGUCACGCGAUACUGUUCGACUCGAAGGCAGGAGAGGGAAGCGGAAUUCCCGGUGUAGUGGUGAAAUGCGUAGAUAUCAGGAGGAACACCAAUUGCGAAGGCAGCUCGCUGGGACGUUACUGACGCUGAGACGCGAAAGCGUGGGGAGCAAACAGG
Molecule: ribosomal RNA, 253 nt
Filed under: uncultured bacterium
Lineage: Bacteria
Description: partial 16S ribosomal RNA
Rfam family: Bacterial small subunit ribosomal RNA
Source: RNAcentral